AAAAAUCUGUGAAUACUUCCUGUAUUCAUCAAACCACAUGUGGAAUUGAGGAUAUGAGACAGUUUUGAGCUGAAAGGUUCAAUCUUUGAAGUUUGGUUAAUAAUUAUCAGAACAAGUUUCAAUUAACUGAGUUUUUCGUUAUGCUUUCAGCCACAUUACAUGGCCUUCCUCAGCAGAUGAGGAUGCUCAGCUGUCAUGGACGGCAAAGAGGUGUGGAUGAAAGCUUAGAGUCCACGUGAGACGACCUUGUUUGGAUAAUUAUUUGGCAUUUGACUCCAAUCUCCAAGGUCAAGAGCAACUUCUAGGGGUUAGAGGGCAAACAAUAAUACAAUCACUCAGACAAAAACAAAAUAUACAUCAUACAAAGCUUGAUAAUGCGUCACAUAGCAAAUAUACUAGCUUUUUUCCUUUUCUCCAGGUAGACCAUUUAUCAUUUUAUGAUUAAUGCUCUGCAGGAAUCUCUUCUCUCCUCAUGGGAAAUUAUAGUGCUUUACCAAAACUAGAAAUUCUCUUUAGUUAAGAAUACAUCAUUGUCAAUAAAUUAACAACUGUGCUUUUUGUGGUCACAUAUAACCAGCAGAAAGUUCAUGGGUCUGAACAAAUACUGCUGCAUGAGAGUGGACAUGGAUUUUACAUGUUCUUCACCUGGUCACAGAUGGACUUCAGCCCACAAGCACAUGACUCCUUUGAUUUGGACUUCACACAGAUCCUCACCAGACAUGCUGGGUAGAUGAAAAGACAACAGGUCUUAUUUUGGACAUCAUAUGACAGAACAUGUAAGAGCAUCUUAAGUUGUGGUAAGAUUGUGGUUUUAAUGGAGGAACAUAAAUCAUAAUAGCAAUAACUACUGGCAAUUGAAAAAUGUCCACAAAUGUAUAUGUAUUAAGUAUAUGUAUUAAACUAGAUCCACAUGUUGUUGACUGAAUAACUUCUUCAAACAUUUUCAACAUGAUUUUGUCAAAGCCAUCGCUCUGAACACUCUGUGCUGCAUUCACUUCUCGGAGGACGUGUAGCAGCUUGCAGGUUUAUUUUAAAACCAGACAAUGACCCAUAACAAACAAGCUUGACAUAGAUCACUGGAAAACUUCUCAGUCUAAUCCAUCACAGAUUCAUCUGCCAAUACAGUGAAUAACCACCACAAAGCCAACGCGGUUAUAUCACUGGACAGAAAUGUUUGUCAUUUCAAAAGAGUUUCAGAUGAAAAGCAAACAGCAGGAUUAGAAGAGAUGUCUGUAAUGAGCACAAAUUAAACUCCUCUUGGAAUAAAGUUAAAAGACAUGUACCCAAAAUAGCUGCAACACAAAACCCAUCAUAUUAUCCACAAUGAACCAAACCCAACACUGAGUUUUUGUUUUACUUUAAGAAUUUAUAGCUUCACAUGGAAUCCAAAAGCAGCACUUUUGCAAAAAAAAAAAAAAAA
Long non-coding RNA from Acanthopagrus latus (yellowfin seabream), 1420 nucleotides. RefSeq lists it as uncharacterized. The transcript has 2 exons. The record is from RefSeq and is a predicted model, not a curated record. Lineage: Eukaryota; Metazoa; Chordata; Actinopteri; Spariformes; Sparidae.